AACAAACGUUUUUUUUUUCUGGCGGCGUGCCUAACACAUGCAAGUCGUACGAGAAAGUCGGCUUCGGCCGAUGAGUACAGUGGCGCACGGGUGAGUAGCGCGUGGGUAAUCUGCCCCCCGGUCAGGAAUAACCCGCCGAAAGGCGGGCUAAUACCCGAUAACACUGACGCUCCGCGGAGCGUCUUUCAAAGAAGGCCUCUGUUUACAAGCUUUCGCCGGAGGAUGAGCCCGCGUACCAUUAGCUAGUUGGCAGGGUAAUGGCCUACCAAGGCUACGAUGGUUAGCUGGUCUGAGAGGAUGGCCAGCCACACUGGAACUGAGACACGGUCCAGACUCCUACGGGAGGCAGCAGUGAGGAAUCUUGCGCAAUGGGGGAAACCCUGACGCAGCAACGCCGCGUGAGUGAGGAAGGCCUUGGGUCGUAAAGGCUCUCGUCAGAUAGGGAAGAAAUGGAGUGGGGGCGUAAUAAUCGCCCGACUCCUUCGUACGGUACCAUCAGAGGAAGACGACCGGCGUAACCUCCG
This 524-nucleotide ribosomal RNA is filed under the name uncultured bacterium. RNAcentral's name for it is "bacterial SSU rRNA". It matches the Rfam family "Bacterial small subunit ribosomal RNA", at positions 36 to 507 of the family's 1533-position model. The record is from RNAcentral.